RNAcentral lists this ribosomal RNA (254 nucleotides) under uncultured bacterium. RNAcentral describes it as "partial 16S ribosomal RNA". It matches the Rfam family "Bacterial small subunit ribosomal RNA", at positions 524 to 776 of the family's 1533-position model. The record is from RNAcentral.
UACGGGGGGAGCAAGCGUUGUUCGGAUUUACUGGGCGUAAAGGGCGCGUAGGCGGCCAGCACAGGUCAGUUGUGAAAUCUCCGAGCUUAACUCGGAACGGUCAACUGAUACUGUGCGGCUAGAGUGCGGAAGGGGCAACUGGAAUUCUUGGUGUAGCGGUGAAAUGCGUAGAUAUCAAGAGGAACACCGAUGGCGAAGGCAGGUCUCUGGGCCGAUACUGACGCUGAGGAGCGAAAGCGUGGGGAGCGAACAGG